UAGGGAAUCUUCGGCAAUGGGGGCAACCCUGACCGAGCAACGCCGCGUGAGUGAAGAAGGUUCUCGGAUCGUAAAGCUCUGUUGUAAGAGAAGAACGUGUGUGAGAGGGGAAAGUUCACACAGUGACGGUAACUUACCAGAAAGGGACGGCUAACUACGUGCCAGCAGCCGCGGUAAUACGUAGGUCCCGAGCGUUGUCCGGACUUAUUGGGCGUAAAGUGGGCGCAGGCGGUUUAAUAAGUCUGAAGUUAAAGGCAGUGGCUUAACCAUUGUUCGCUUUGGAAACGGUUAGACUUGAGUGCAGAAGGGGAGAGUGGGAUUCCGUGUGUAGCGGUGAAAUGCGUAGAUAUAUGGAGGAACACCGGUGGCGGAAGCGGCUCUCUGAUCUGUGACAGACGCUAAGGCUCGAAAGCGUAGGGAGCAAACAGG
This 429-nucleotide ribosomal RNA is filed under the name bacterium. RNAcentral's name for it is "partial 16S ribosomal RNA". It matches the Rfam family "Bacterial small subunit ribosomal RNA", at positions 355 to 776 of the family's 1533-position model. The record is from RNAcentral.